RNAcentral lists this ribosomal RNA (360 nucleotides) under uncultured Thermanaerovibrio sp. RNAcentral describes it as "bacterial SSU rRNA". It matches the Rfam family "Bacterial small subunit ribosomal RNA", at positions 1023 to 1382 of the family's 1533-position model. Lineage: Bacteria; Thermotogati; Synergistota; Synergistia; Synergistales; Synergistaceae. The record is from RNAcentral.
AGCGAGCGUGCACAGGUGCUGCAUGGCUGUCGUCAGCUCGUGUCGUGAGAUGUUGGGUUAAGUCCCGCAACGAGCGCAACCCUACGCUGAGUUACCAGCACGUGAAGGUGGGGACUCUCAGUGGACUGCCGGCGACAAGCCGGAGGAAGGUGGGGACGACGUCAAGUCAUCAUGGCCCUCAUGUCCAGGGCGACACACGUGCUACAAUGGCCGGCACAACGGGAAGCGAAGUCGCGAGGCAGAGCGGAUCCCUUAAAGCCGGUCCCAGUUCGGAUUGCAGUCUGCAACUCGACUGCAUGAAGCCGGAAUCGCUAGUAAUCGCGGAUCAGCCAAGCCGCGGUGAAUACGUUCCCGGGCCUU